Molecule: long non-coding RNA, 442 nt
Filed under: Lotus japonicus
Lineage: Eukaryota; Viridiplantae; Streptophyta; Magnoliopsida; Fabales; Fabaceae
Description: long non-coding RNA (LJAP_LNC001258)
Source: RNAcentral
AGCCAUAUCAUGAAGUAGCCAAAGAAGUUCAUGGUGACUCCAAUUGAGAGCACCACCCAUGGCGGCGAGACCUCGUUGAUUAGCCCUGAGAUGACACCAACAUUGGCACCAAGGUCUUUGAAGAAGCUGAGAAGGUUGAGAGUGGAUUGAUCAUAGCCUAAAGAGGAUUUGACAACGUUGGAGUAUAGGCCAAGUGACUCCAAUUGAGAGCACCACCCAUGGCGGCGAGACCUCGUUGAUUAGCCCUGAGAUGACACCAACAUUGGCACCAAGGUCUUUGAAGAAGCUGAGAAGGUUGAGAGUGGAUUGAUCAUAGCCUAAAGAGGAUUUGACAACGUUGGAGUAUAGGCCAAACAUGUAGGUUGCACCAGCAACAGCCAUGAUUAGUUUAGAGGCAAAUAGCAUGAACCAACGGCCGGUGAGGACUUGGUAGAUGAAGGUC